UCCACGCCGUAAACGAUGUCAACUAGCCGUUGGGUCUAUUUAUAGGCUUAGUGGCGGAGCUAACGUAUUAAGUUGACCGCCUGGGGAGUACGGCCGGGCAAGGUUAAAACUCAAAUGAAUUGACGGGGGCCCGCACAAGCGGUGGAGCAUGUGGUUUAAUUCGAUGAUACGCGAGGAACCUUACCAGGGCUUAAAAUGUAGGUUGCAUUAGACAGAGAUGUUUAUUUCUUCGG
Molecule: ribosomal RNA, 233 nt
Filed under: uncultured bacterium
Lineage: Bacteria
Description: partial 16S ribosomal RNA
Rfam family: Bacterial small subunit ribosomal RNA
Source: RNAcentral